UGCCAGCAGCCGCGGUAAUACAGAGGGUGCAAGCGUUAAUCGGACUGACUGGGCGUAAAGGGCGUGUAGGCGGCUAAAUCAGUCGGAUGUAAAAGUCCCGGGCUUAACCUGGGAAGGCCAUCCGAUACUGUUUAGCUAGAGUCUAGGAGAGGGAAGUGGAAUUUCCGGAGUAGCGGUGAAAUGCGUAGAUUUCGGAAGGAACACCAGUGGCGAAGGCGACUUCCUGGCUUAAGACUGACGCUGAGGCGCGAAAGCGUGGGUAGCAAACAGGAUUAGAUA
Molecule: ribosomal RNA, 279 nt
Filed under: uncultured bacterium
Lineage: Bacteria
Description: partial 16S ribosomal RNA
Rfam family: Bacterial small subunit ribosomal RNA
Source: RNAcentral